Molecule: long non-coding RNA, 981 nt
Organism: Dunckerocampus dactyliophorus (ringed pipefish)
Lineage: Eukaryota; Metazoa; Chordata; Actinopteri; Syngnathiformes; Syngnathidae
Exons: 6
Source: RefSeq, a predicted model, not a curated record
ACAAAACAUAACGUAACAUUACAUCAUAUUACCGUCGCCCUGCAUGGAUGUAGUCAGCCAUGACAUGUCCGACAUGAUAGAGUGAUAUGAUAGAAUGAAAAGAAGUUCUCCUAUUCCAAGUGAAAGUGCUUUCAGCUGUACUCAACUCAGCUCCGACCUUCCUUCCUCACACAACAACAACAACAACAACAACAACCAUGACCAACGUCAGCAUUGAGUACUGCGGCGGAUGAGGGUACAAGUGGAGGUUUGACGACCUCGCUGAGACCCUUGAGCAGAUUCCUGGAGUGAGGGUUUCUGGCAAAGUUGGAAGGAAAAACAGUUUUGAGGUGACUGUGGAUGGCGAGUUGAUCUACUCCAAACUGAGCACUGGAUCUUUCCCGACUAAAAGCCAGAUUGUGCCCAAGGUGCAGGCGAUGUCCAAAGGCAGGAAGUAGACGCGGACGGGAUCCAACCAGAGCAUGAUGGGAGUGACUGCACUAGGGCAGACGCUGACGUCCUUCUUUGAAUGACUGUGCAUGCUCAAAACACAAAGGGGUGUGCACACGAUGGAAACCUUUAGAAGGGUUUUAGCUGAUCUGGAGUCUGUUGGAGUGUUCCCAUCAUGACAGUCUGGCUUAAUAGGGGACGGGAGCUGCUUCACUCAUUUCUGCUUUAAAGUAAUGGUGGGAACCUGUGGUGCUUGGGCCAUACGCAGCCCCCCGUUUUAUUCGACACACAAUUCAGAACAUAUGUUGAAAACAUAGAAAGAAAAAAAAGAGUUAAGAUGUUUAAAAAAAAAAAAAAGCUCCCAAUAAUGUAACACACACAUCAAGCAUUUAUUCAUUCAGUCUUUGCAUCGUAUUUUUUCAUACAUUUGGUAUAAGACUAAAAAUGGUUCCCCACUCCUGCUGUGUGCACAAUCAAUAUACAAUCAUUUGCUUCUUGAAAAGAAUGAGUGUUUUUAUCCAACUGCAAAUAAACCAUCUUUCUGCUACACAA